Long non-coding RNA from Hippocampus comes (tiger tail seahorse), 2062 nucleotides. RefSeq lists it as uncharacterized. Lineage: Eukaryota; Metazoa; Chordata; Actinopteri; Syngnathiformes; Syngnathidae. The transcript is spliced from 3 exons. The record is from RefSeq and is a predicted model, not a curated record.
GUGUUUUUCUCACCAGUAAGCAGAACGUCCGUAAGCGGCGCGUGACUGUGGCCAGAUGGAAGAGGUUUGCAAGGACUGACCUGAGUAUUCUUCACUCGAAAGGACAGACACGAUAAUAGAGACAGACGAUCAUGCAAGGAGGAAGGCAAGAACAAGAAAGGAAAGCCUGACAGGAGGGACGUGGAGUUUGAAGUCUGAGAAGUGAAGCAGGAUGAGGGUCUUAUCGGUGCUGUCUUUGCUCUCCUGUCCAGGUGAGUACCCAGGAAAUGACAUACAGUACAUCCACUCAUAUCAAUUACCUGCAUGUAAUCCUUCUGAAAUCCUAUUCUGCUAGGAGUGCAAAUACCGCUCAAUAUCAUACAACCGAUAAAAUCAUAGACUCUACUCUGUCUGCUCCCAGUGCACAGCAUUCCAAAACCCUUGUGUGUACUUGCAUACAUGUGUUCAGGGAGGACAAACUCACCACAUUUGAACCACGUGGAUGUAUUAGGGGAAGGGGGGGGGGGGGACGUGCAGUUCGCUGAGUGAUCACGUGGGGGAUCACAGCGCAGGUUAAAAUGCAGAAUCAUGUUUUGGUUUUCCGGCUCCGAUGACGUUGACUGUGUUCUGUUACAAUUAUAUAGUAUAGAUUGCAUAGUUGUAUUUGUUGUUUGGUUGUGGUUAAGUGAUAAGCUAGCUCAAAAUACUUUUAAUUUUAUAUUUUCCAUUGAGGCUAAUGUUAUUGUUUACUUGCUGAAUGAGAAAUGUGUUUUAUUAAUAAUGCCGUUUGAGUUAGACACCUCAGUCCAAAUCCGAAAUCUCCUACAUCCAUUAUUAUUUCGUUUAGUCAUUGUGAAUCAAUAAUAUGAAUGUCUGUAUGAAUUUAGCACAGAUAAGCUAUGGAUUCCAUUAUCACAUUGAUUCACUUUUGUUAUUGAGGUCUCGAUAUUGAGCUCUCCGCCAGCUCACCAAAACUGUGUUUGACCUCUGUCAGAGAGACCCUUGAGUUCAGUCAAGUGUUGUCUCAGUAGCUUUCUCAGCAUUCAUUGCCACUGCCAGCUCGGUGACAGCAUUGGCCUCCAGGGGACUCAUUGUUGGCAAGUUUAUUAUUCCUUGGAUUCAGAAGUGGGGCCACACCAUCUAAAAGCAAACAAAUAGUCAGGGGAGGAUUACAUAAGAGCACUUUGUAGGUAGACGUCUGCCAAGGCCAAGCAAUAAUGACAGAUAGAUUCCUCCUCCUGCGGUUAGCAUUUUGUACAAAAAGGUUUGCUGUGAUGAUUGUAAUUAUGUACGUAUGGCUGCACAUACAUUUAGUGAAUUAAAUGGGAAGUUACGGCCAUGUGGUUUGUUUAAGUGGUAUUGCUGUACAAUCUCUGAUGGGGAUUUAGUACUUGUGCACCUUUAGUCAGCACAGCAUUGAUUACCUCACCUGUUUAGCAUACAGUAUACAAUGUAACAAGCUGUAAGCCCUUUCAUCCCAAAGUUGUGUUUCAAUGACUGAGUAAGUAGCGACACACCGUGAAUGUGUCCGUUUUUAGUCUUAGCAAGACUCACUAGUUUUGCAUGCAUCAUCGUUCUCAAACACGCUUAUCACGGAUGACCCUCCCCUCUUCCUUCACUUUCUUGUUCUUACAGUAUUAGAGAUAGUGAUGGAAACAAACCUGCGUCAGGUUUAACCACUGAAAUAAUUCUGUAAAGUUGAAUGCUGUGAUAUUUCAAAACCAAAAAGGGGUACACUCCAUCCAUUUUGGUUAGCAUAUUGUGCAGGGAGAUUUCACCCCUGGUACUCUGGUUGGCAAUCACUCAUCUACUAUUCAAACUCCACAAGCCAAUGCUAGUUUUCUACCAUGUUUCACCACAGGAGAAGUCUUAUUUCAUUUGGCCUAUUGAGCUUCGCGGGGGAGGUUUCACAUUUACAUUCAUGCGUCGACAUACUGGCACACACAUCCCAAUGAAAAAAAGGAAACAAGACAUCAUUUCUGUUAGGUUCGGAACAGAACCAAAUGAUAUUUUUGGAUCCAAGAAAUGCAGGCUCAGACAAAAUGCAACAACAAAAAUAUUUAUUUACAGAAAAGCCGCAUCG